This is a long non-coding RNA of Actinia tenebrosa (Australian red waratah sea anemone), 360 nucleotides long. RefSeq lists it as uncharacterized. The record is from RefSeq and is a predicted model, not a curated record. Lineage: Eukaryota; Metazoa; Cnidaria; Anthozoa; Actiniaria; Actiniidae.
UACGCGACAGGUCACCAGGCCCAGAAGAGUUGUCCGAGAGACACUGGGUACUAUUGCGAUAGAACUAAGAUAGUUAACACAGCACGUGAACUUUAGUUAUGAAAUUUAGUUAUUAAGAGGAAUAUGGGAGAUUGUUAUUGAGUUUUUCUUUUGGAUUCGAUAGGGACACAUUCGUGAACCGCACAUCGAUACACGACACAUCGACUCAUCAACACAGCAUAAUUUCGAGAAUUUCUAUCUUGUGGCAUAAUAACGACAUGAGAGAUAAUGAAUCUUCGUUUAAUCUGAUUAGGAAAUAGAUGUAUGUAUUGAAUGCGAGUUUCAUGAAGGACCCAAUAAAUAUAGAUUGAUGAAAGCAUA